This is a long non-coding RNA of Melospiza melodia melodia, 381 nucleotides long. RefSeq lists it as uncharacterized. The record is from RefSeq and is a predicted model, not a curated record. Lineage: Eukaryota; Metazoa; Chordata; Aves; Passeriformes; Passerellidae. The transcript has 2 exons.
GUGCGGGACAGCCCGCGCUCCCCGCGCCGGGACUCCCUCUGAGGAGAAAACCGACGGGAAAGGGAUCCUGCAUGGAGCGCCGCACCCCGCGCUGACGGCUUCCCUUUCGUUUCGGAGUUCUCCAUCACACGGGUCUUCCAUCAAAUUAUCUUCUACAACUGCGUGGAAAAUUAAAGUCCCUGUUUCGCAGAAAUUUUCAUAAAUUCUGACUAUAUAAGAACAAGGAAAAAAAACCUCCUCAAAACCCAACGAAAAGGCAUCGCUGAGCAGCGGGACCGGGAAGCAGAGCGAAAGCCCCCAGCCCUGCACCCGCAGCAGUAAUUCCAGCUUUGUUCGUGGGCUUUUACUCGCAAAUAUCACAUUAAAGGUUUGUUGCUUCUC